RNAcentral lists this long non-coding RNA (1498 nucleotides) under Gallus gallus (chicken). RNAcentral describes it as "lncRNA (ENSGALG00010004450.1)". Lineage: Eukaryota; Metazoa; Chordata; Aves; Galliformes; Phasianidae. The record is from RNAcentral.
CUGCAGUUCAUGCUCUGGUGCCUGGAGACGUGAAUCAGAGCCUAGUUAUUAUAAACCAGAACAAAUAACUAAAUGGUGCUGCUCUCUCUGUGAUAUACGCUCCACGGUUGAGCUCUGAGUCUCAAUCUCUUGAUCUUCUCAAAAAACCAGGCAGGACCAGCAUCCUUCAUCCUUGCAGUCCUUGGGUGAAUAUCCCAACAAGCUGAAUUCUGUGGCACCAGCACCCUGUGUCCUCAUGGGCUGCUUCUAAAAGCCUCACUGGCUCAUGUAUCCAUGAGGUGUGGAUGGAUUCCUACUGACGUGUAGUGUAUCUCUUUUCUCACUGCACAUUAUUCUUUCAGGAUCCCCAGGCCACUCUGCAUACUUACAGUCCCAACCAGGAGAGGAAAGGCUCCAUCAUCGUGAUCCACAGAGGCUUGGGACAUUGUAAUAGGUAUCACUGUUCCCACAGAAUGUGCCAUUUAAGUACAAAGAAGGUCAAGAAGGAAGUGGCAUCAGAUUUUCACAGCAUGAUGGAAGAAGUAUUCAUCACUGGUGGGGUCUGAUUGCUCUGCCUCAUGUGCACACCUAGAGGAUGGUAGGAAGGGGCAGUUACAUUCCACAGACACUCUUGCUAAGCAAGCGUAUCUUCAACAAGGAAAAAGUGUUUGUACGUCCUUAAUGAAGUAAAAACACCACAGCAUUAUGCAGAAAUCAUCACUGAAAUCUAAGAGGACACAACAAUCUAAUGAAGUCACUGUUCUUUGCUUGAAAAUGUUAGCCUAGCAUUGUGAUGUUUUGAUGGACAAUAUGUAAUGAUCAUUUGAGUAUCAACUGUUCCAUUAAAAAAAAAAAAAAAGAGUGGAAAGAGGAGAUGUUGUCAAGGUGUGGUCUACUUGUAAGAUGCUAAAUGUACAUUUCACACAAUAGUACAUAAAAAUGUUAGAAGGGACUUCUUGAGGUCAUACAGCCCACGCUUCCAUUCAAAACAAGACCUACAGGCAUAUACCAAUGCAGAAUAAGUAGUUUUGGACUCAUCCAUCUAGGUUCUGGAGACCUCCAAGGAUAGAGGUUACACAACGCUUUCAGGAAACUUUUCUGAUGCUGCAUUACUUUCUUAGUAGUAACAAAUUUAUUGAUAUGCUUCAGUUCAAGUUUCCCAUUUGCUUUGGUCCUGUGAUGUUGACUUCUCCUUUGAAGGAGAUAGGCAGAUAGGCAGUGCAAGAUCUCUGAACAGAAGCAAGGUACUUACGGAUGGUAAGAACUUGUAGGGUCAAAGAAGUAAGAGCAGCUGUAACAACAGAGGCAAGUUACUUCGUAGAAGUCUUUGAUACAAGGUGGUGAUUGAACAUCACUCUUUACUAUCUAUCUCCUCUGCAGUCCCUCAGCCUGACUCAUCUAUACUCACUAUCAUACUAUUAUCUUUGACUACAGGAAGCUCAUGACACGAUGAAUAUGAAUUUAAGAAGUUAUCUGAUGGGAGAAGGCACAUGGCAACAUCUUAGAUAGCUGCAGUGUA